CGCCGAUAGAACCCGACAUUAAUUUGGUUGAUAACCUCUUACUAAUUGUUUACGAAGCGCAAAAUGCAACUUAUAUAAUGAUAACAAAAUUAUUCUAUAGAAAAACAUAACCUUAAAAAGCUAACCUAAAAAAUCUUGCCCAAUAACGCAGCAUCACAACUUCCUGUAAAGAUUCUUCCACACUUACAGACUGUAAUAUUCUUAAAUCGCGAAUGAUAAUGUGGAUUGUCAAUACAUGAAUAUUUCACCUAAAGUGGUUAUAAUGCCACCUGAAGACCUAAAAGUGGUUAUAAUGCCACCUGAAGACCAGGUCAUUGAUGAUACAGCCAUGGUUAUCCACUAAGGGAAUAAAGUAGCGGGUGCAGUAUGAGAGGAUAGAGCACCAACCACCGUCACAUAAGUAGUGAUGGGCAACUGCUCUUUGCUACUUCGGUUGGUAACUAUCAGUUUGCCUGGUCCUACAACUGAAGAUUUAUGUACUUAAUGGCUGUACAGUAAAUAACAGAUGCUCGGAAGGCAACUAUAAGAUUCAGAGGAUGAUUUUGAUCAAUAUACAUUUUUGUUAAUCUGCAUUUUAAAUAAUAAAAUGUAAUUGAGUAUUUCU
Non-coding RNA from Plutella xylostella (diamondback moth), 604 nucleotides. NCBI's taxonomy places the organism in Eukaryota, Metazoa, Arthropoda, Insecta, Lepidoptera, Plutellidae. The record is from RefSeq and is a predicted model, not a curated record.